AUUGAACGCUGGCGGCAGGCCUAACACAUGCAAGUCGAACGGUAGCACAGAGAGCUUGCUCUCGGGUGACGAGUGGCGGACGGGUGAGUAAUGUCUGGGAAACUGCCCGAUGGAGGGGGAUAACUACUGGAAACGGUAGCUAAUACCGCAUAACGUCGCAAGACCAAAGUGGGGGACCUUCGGGCCUCACACCAUCGGAUGUGCCCAGAUGGGAUUAGCUAGUAGGUGGGAUAAUGGCUCACCUAGGCGACGAUCCCUAGCUGGUCUGAGAGGAUGAGCGGCCACACUGGAACUGAGACACGGUCCAGACUCCUACGGGAGGCAGCAGUGGGGAAUAUUGCACAAUGGGCGCAAGCCUGAUGCAGCCAUGCCGCGUGUAUGAAGAAGGCCUUCGGGUUGUAAAGUACUUUCAGCGGGGAGGAAGGCGGUGAAGUUAAUAGCUUCACCGAUUGACGUUACCCGCAGAAGAAGCACCGGCUAACUCCGUGCCAGCAGCCGCCGUAA
Molecule: ribosomal RNA, 504 nt
Filed under: uncultured bacterium
Lineage: Bacteria
Description: partial 16S ribosomal RNA
Rfam family: Bacterial small subunit ribosomal RNA
Source: RNAcentral